Non-coding RNA from Peromyscus maniculatus bairdii (prairie deer mouse), 997 nucleotides. NCBI's taxonomy places the organism in Eukaryota, Metazoa, Chordata, Mammalia, Rodentia, Cricetidae. The record is from RefSeq and is a predicted model, not a curated record.
GAGAAUAGAUUUUUAAAGGAAAUAUUUCUCAAUACAGUUUGAGAAACCAAACCUGGCCAGACCAUUAUAAAGUGAGAAAAAUUACAAAACAUUGCUUCUCAUGAACACAAGCACAAAAAUCCCAAAACUAAGAGCUUACGGCCUCUGUUUCACCUGUGUCCUGAGAUCCUGAGUUAAUCUGACGGGGGAAACUCUAAGCACACAGCACAGGCUGUGGCAAGGCGACCGGUGUCCUUCAGCCACAUUCUAGAGAGAUGGUCAGCAGCAAACCAUGACGCAGAAAGAAGCGGGAAGGUUUGAUUCGGCCAGAAAGGGAACUGUUUGAAGUGGUGGACAAAGAAGACUUCAGUGUUAAAGAGUUUACCACCGUGAACAAGAAGCCAGGACACAGGUGCGGCCGACAUUUUGAAAUGAAGAUCAAGGCAAGUUUUACCUUCACUAGGCCUGAACACAUGAUGUUAUGAGCUCCCAGGAUGUACCAACUCCCAGCCUUGAUAAGAUCCUGUGGUAAAAGAAUCCACAAGAGCCAGGCGGUGGUGGCCCACACCUUUAAUCCCAGCACUCGGGAGGCAGAGGCAGGCGGAUCUCUGUGAGUUCAAGGCCAGCCUGGGCUACCAAGUGAGUUCCAGGAAAGGCGCAAAAUUACACAGAGGAACCCUGUCUCGAAAAACCAAAAAAAGAAAAAGAAAAAGAAAAAAAAAGAAUCCACAAGAAAGCUAGCACGAAAGACAUCUCAACCUACAAGACAUUAGUCACGGAAGACGUGUCCCACUACCUCUUCUGUGGUCUAGUGAUAAGUAAGUCAUGGGUACUGACCACACUCAGCACAGGACAUCACUUAAGGGUGUGAACACCAGAAGAUAAGGACUGAGGCUGAGUCUUCCCCACAGCCGUCUUCUGUAGAUGGAAUUCUAAACAGUCUUAUUAAAUAAGAAACACAGAGCCAAAUACAGAGUUAAAAGCCCAAGAGGUCAGAGCACUAGCGAAUAGCCUUUAG